UACACGACCGUACCGCAAACCGACACUGGUGCGCGAGAUGAGUAUUCUAAGGCGCUUGAGAGAACUCAGGAGAAGGAACUCGGCAAAUUGACACCGUAACUUCGGAAGAAGGUGUGCCUUUAGUAGGUGAACCUGUACAAGGGGAGCCCAAUGAGGUUGCAAAAAAUCGGUGGCUGCGACUGUUUAAUAAAAACACAGCACUCUGCAAACACGAAAGUGGACGUAUAGGGUGUGACGCCUGCCCGGUGCUGGAAGAUUAAAUGAUGGGGUGCAAGCUCUUGAUUGAAGUCCCAGUAAACGGCGGCCGUAACUAUAACGGUCCUAAGGUAGCGAAAUUCCUUGUCGGGUAAGUUCCGACCUGCACGAAUGGCGUAACGAUGGCCACACUGUCUCCUCCUGAGACUCAGCGAAGUUGAAAUGUUUGUGAUGAUGCAAUCUCCCCGCGGAAAGACGGAAAGACCCCAUGAACCUUUACUGUAGCUUUGUAUUGGACUUUGAACAGAUCUGUGUAGGAUAGGUGGGAGGCUUUGAAGUGUGGUCGCUAGAUCGCAUGGAGCCAACGUUGAAAUACCACCCUGGUGUGUUUGAGGUUCUAACCUAGGCCCGUAAUCCGGGUCGGGGACAGUGCAUGGUAGGCAGUUUGACUGGGGCGGUCUCCUCCCAAAGCGUAACGGAGGAGUUCGAAGGUACGCUAGGUACGGUCGGACAUCGUGCUAAUAGUGCAAUGGCAUAAGCGUGCUUAACUGCGAGACUGACAAGUCGAGCAGAUGCGAAAGCAGGACAUAGUGAUCCGGUGGUUCUGUAUGGAAGGGCCAUCGCUCAACGGAUAAAAGGUACUCUGGGGAUAACAGGCUGAUACCGCCCAAGAGUUCAUAUCGACGGCGGUGUUUGGCACCUCGAUGUCGGCUCAUCUCAUCCUGGGGCUGUAGCCGGUCCCAAGGGUAUGGCUGUUCGCCAUUUAAAGAGGUACGUGAGCUGGGUUUAAAACGUCGUGAGACAGUUUGGUCCCUAUCUUCCGUGGGCGCUGCAGAUUUGAGGAAGCCUGCUCCUAGUACGAGAGGACCGGAGUGGACACACCUCUGGUGUAUCGGUUGUCACGCCAGUGGCAUUGCCGAGUAGCUAUGUGUGGAAGAGAUAACCGCUGAAGGCAUCUAAGCGGGAAACUCGUUUCAAGAUGAGAUCUGCCGGGGCCUUGAGCCCCCUAAAGAGUCGUUCAAGACCAGGACGUUGAUAGGUCGGGUGUGGAAGCGCAGUAAUGCGUUAAGCUAACCGAUACUAAUUGCUCGUGCGGCUUGAUCA
RNAcentral lists this ribosomal RNA (1299 nucleotides) under metagenome. RNAcentral describes it as "bacterial LSU rRNA". It matches the Rfam family "Bacterial large subunit ribosomal RNA", at positions 1635 to 2925 of the family's 2925-position model. The record is from RNAcentral.